This 266-nucleotide long non-coding RNA is filed under the name Elaeis guineensis (African oil palm). RNAcentral's name for it is "long non-coding RNA (EGUI_LNC020986)". Lineage: Eukaryota; Viridiplantae; Streptophyta; Magnoliopsida; Arecales; Arecaceae. The record is from RNAcentral.
CAUGGGAUCCCUAAAAGAUAACAGACACAACACUAUAAUAAACUAGCUCGCACUCUCUCUCUCUGUGCUCAAAGUUCUGACUGAUUUAGACAUCGAAGGAUUUCCUAUUAGAGCACUCCCCUCUAAUACAAGUGGAUUUCUUUUGUAGAUCUCCCAUGAUGCUUCGAUAUCCUGGCCGAUGUCUCUCCUCUACCACAUCAGUUCGCCUCGAAGCAUUGACACAAUAGAUCUAAUGCUAUUGCCAAUAUAAGCUUUAGAACUAUGCC